AUGCAUCUGUGGGUGCCCCUUCUGCCUGCACCCUUGGCCCAUGGGUGUCCCUUCAUGCCCAGACCUCCUACCUGCAGGUGCCCACCACCCAAGGGUGCCCCCUUUCCUGGUCACGCCCCCCAACCAAGGGUGCCCCUGCUCCUGCCAGGACCUCCCCCAGCCACGCAUCGCAGCAGCAGGCGUCCCUUCCGCAUGCACCCAUGGGUGCCCCCCACCCACGGGUGCCCACGCACCGAUGGAGCACUCGUCGACGUCCUGGUCGCAGGCGCCGCCGGUGAAGCCGGGGGGGCAGGUGCAGAUGGCGCGCCCGUUGACGGGGUUGGUGUCGCACACGGCGUCCUCGUGGCAGGGGUUGCUGACGCAGGCGUCGUCCAGGUGGCACAGCAGCCCUGGCGGGGGCCCGCCGGCRUCAGCGGCACCCUGGGGUGCCCCCCGCCCCGGCCGCCACGGCCCCACGUGCGGGGGGUCCAGGGUGGGACAGGGGGUGUGGGGCACCCACGGGCGGGGGUGACUGUGGGGUGUCCACCAUGUGCCCUGGGUGCUCCAGGGUGCAUCUGCCCCGGGCCAGGUGGGUCCACCCCACACCACGGGUGCCCCAGAGUACAUCUGCCCCACACCGUGGGUGCUCCAGGGUGCAUCUGCCCCGUGCCAGGUGGGUCCACCCCACACCAUGGGUGCUCCAGGGUGCAUCUGCCCCAUGCCAGGGGUGUCCACGCCACACCACAGGUGCCCCAGGGUGCAUCUACCCCACACCAUGGGUGCUCCAGGGUGCAUCUGCCCCAUGCCAGGGGUAUCCACCCCACACCAUGGGUGCUCCAGGGUGCAUCUACCCCACACCAUGGGUGCUCCAGGGUGCAUCUGCCCCAUGACAGGGGUGUCCACCCCACACCACGGGUGCCUCAGGGUGCAUCUGCCCCGUGCCAGGUGGGUCCACCCCACACCACGGGUGCCUCAGGGUGCAUCUGCCCCACACCAUGGGUGCUCCAGGGUGCAUCUGCCCCAUGA
This 1005-nucleotide long non-coding RNA is filed under the name Apteryx haastii (Great spotted kiwi). RNAcentral's name for it is "lncRNA (ENSAHAG00000001153.1)". Lineage: Eukaryota; Metazoa; Chordata; Aves; Apterygiformes; Apterygidae. The record is from RNAcentral.